This 274-nucleotide ribosomal RNA is filed under the name uncultured bacterium. RNAcentral describes it as "partial 16S ribosomal RNA". It matches the Rfam family "Bacterial small subunit ribosomal RNA", at positions 523 to 796 of the family's 1533-position model. The record is from RNAcentral.
AUACGUAGGGGGCAAGCGUUGUUCGGAAUUACUGGGCGUAAAGGGCGCGUAGGCGGUUUGCCAAGUCAGGUGUGAAAUCCCGGAGCUUAACUUCGGAACUGCACUUCAUACUGCCGAGCUUGAGUCUCUGAGAGGCAAGGGGAAUUCCCGGUGUAGGGGUGAAAUCCGUAGAUAUUGGGAGGAACACCAAUUGCGAAGGCACCUUGCUGGUGGAAGACUGACGCUGAAACACGAAAGCUAGGGGAGCGAACAGGAUUAGAAACCCGUGUAGUCC